This 1575-nucleotide long non-coding RNA is filed under the name Anas platyrhynchos platyrhynchos (common mallard). RNAcentral describes it as "lncRNA (ENSAPLG00000024603.1)". The record is from RNAcentral. Lineage: Eukaryota; Metazoa; Chordata; Aves; Anseriformes; Anatidae.
GGCUGAUGUUGAGCACUUUUCACCAAGAGGCUAAAUACAAGGGCAUAUCUGUUCUCUUCAGAAAACAUCACGUCUGUGCUACUGCAGGGGAAAGGUCCUGAUUACAAAAGGUAAUUACCCCAUGUCAGUUCUUUGUAGCAUCAUCGUUUCUUGGCAUUAAGCUAGAGAAAAAAGAAAACUUCCAUUCCCCAAAAGAUUUUUGUCAGAAUAAACAGCCUUAUGAUUAAGCACAACCCAUGGACAUAGAUAAUAUUGCCCAAGUUAUUUAGAUUGGGUGUGGUAAAGAAGUCAAACCGAGGAAACAGAGCAAAAAUUAUUUGCAUUUUAAUCGUAUUUUGAAUCCUUUUUUGUUUCUCUCCUUCCCUGCUUCCAUUACAGUUUUAUUUUCCCUCAUUUGCUUCAUCAAGCUCUACUCUUAACACUCUAAUUCUUCUACUUGAUACCUGUUCUCCUACCUUUCCUCUGUCUCAACUGCUUAACCCAUGCAUAAUUUUGGUCAAAGCCUGCCUGGCAUCCCCAGGCUGAAAAGUGCACAGCUGAUCCCUGUUGCUCUCCUGUUUUGACAGUAGAAAAAGAAAGAUAAGGUUGCAGCAUCUGCCAACAGCACUUGAGUAUCUAUAGACGGAGCAAGAUGACUCCAGUACAUGUUGACAGACUUAAACUAUUAUCUCAUACAUAUCAUUUUCUUUUUAGGACUCUACUAAUUAAUGUGAUUUAGAUGACGACACUUUUUUUUUUCUUGUUGAAAUGCAAAUGAGAUAUUUUGUGCAUGAAAAGUUUGACAUUGGUGGAAUGAAUUAUGGAGAUACUGAUGUACUCAAAAGGGCAGACUUGGGUACUUGUGAGAAGACCCAGGAUAAAAAAAACGUUUGAACUUGAACUGCUUGAUUGAAAGAAAGUUUGCACAAAGAAGGAUAUCCACAAAAGAAUUACUCUUUCUACUAGCUUUGCUGACUUAAGAGCUCCUUCUGAUUGUUGCUGAGGUGAGAGCACUAAAACUGAAGGACCAGCAGGAUUUACUAGCUCCAGCACUCUUAGGCACUUUCAGAGUUGUUCUCUGGUUACCCCAUAUAGUUAUGUAAUCAAUCUUCAUUUUUCAUUGACUGUUCUUUAUUUGUUUGGCCUUAACCCUAAUUUGAAGGGCAUUGAAGAAGGCUGUCCAAAACAGGAUACACCCAGAACAGUAUUAGGCUCCUGUGUCACCUACUUCAUUGCUUAGAGGAAAAUGAUCCAGCUACCUGACAUGCAGUACCAGGACGAUAAACACCCAGUGAUUUUGCAGCACAUUUUGGGAAGAUCACUGGCAGACUGACAGCUUUUAGACAUGUAUGGCUGCAAGUAUGAGAAUAAUUACACUAGUUUUCUCCACAUCUGUGAAAAGGUGAAAUUCCUUCCCAAAAUGUGUCCAAUUGGCUGAAUAUUCCAAUACCCAUGUUUUGAAAGCAUUUUAUUUUAUUACUCUGAUUCUAGAGACUAGUAAAUAUCUCAUAGGAACUAUGAUAAUUAAUUGAAAAUUCUUCAUCAGAAUGAAUGGGAGAUGAACAAAGAUGGCAAGGAGCUAAAACUAGAAAGCUC